CCUACGUGAGGCAGCAGUGGGGAAUAUUGCACAAUGGGGGAAACCCUGAUGCAGCGACGCCGCGUGAGUGAAGAAGUAAUUCGUUAUGUAAAGCUCUAUCAGCAGGGAAGAAAAUGACGGUACCUGAGUAAGAAGCCCCGGCUAACUACGUGCCAGCAGCCGCGGUAAUACGUAGGGGGCAAGCGUUAUCCGGAUUUACGGGGUGUAAAGGGAGCGUAGACGGCGGUGCAAGUCUGGAGUGAAAGGCGGGGGCUGAACCCACGGACUGCUGUGGAAACUGUACGGCUGGAGUGCAGGAGAGGUAAGUGGAAUUCCUAGUGUAGCGGUGAAAUGCGUAGAUAUUAGGAGGAACACCAGUGGCGAAGGCGGCUUACUGGACUGUAACUGACGUUGAGGCUCGAAAGCGUGGGGAGCAAACAGGAUUAGAUACCCCAGUAGUC
Molecule: ribosomal RNA, 440 nt
Filed under: uncultured bacterium
Lineage: Bacteria
Description: partial 16S ribosomal RNA
Rfam family: Bacterial small subunit ribosomal RNA
Source: RNAcentral